UACGGGGGGGGCAAGCGUUGUUCGGAAUUACUGGGCGUAAAGGGCUCGUAGGCGGCCAACUAAGUCAGACGUGAAAUCCCUCGGCUUAACCGGGGAACUGCGUCUGAUACUGGAUGGCUUGAAUCCGGGAGAGGGAUGCGGAAUUCCAGGUGUAGCGGUGAAAUGCGUAGAUAUCUGGAGGAACACCGGUGGCGAAGGCGGCGUUCUGGACUGCAACUGACACUGAAAAACGAAAGCCAGGGGAGCAAACGGG
RNAcentral lists this ribosomal RNA (253 nucleotides) under uncultured bacterium. RNAcentral's name for it is "partial 16S ribosomal RNA". It matches the Rfam family "Bacterial small subunit ribosomal RNA", at positions 524 to 776 of the family's 1533-position model. The record is from RNAcentral.